This 204-nucleotide long non-coding RNA is filed under the name Mytilus galloprovincialis (Mediterranean mussel). The record is from RNAcentral. Lineage: Eukaryota; Metazoa; Mollusca; Bivalvia; Mytilida; Mytilidae.
CUAUGUUAUAAAAUACAUAUUCUAAAUAUUUAGUUGUAUGUACUAUUAACCCACGCAAGGCCUACUUUGUGUUUCGAUUGUAAACCCUGAUUUUUAUCAAUGGGAGCCUGAAAAAAUAGAAAAAAAGAAAAAAAUACUCCGAAAAUACUUGGUUUGUUAAAUUGUUGUAUACACUGAAAACACACCGGGUUCAACUCAAUUUAU